GCCGCGUUCGUCUAGUCCGGCCUAGGACGCCAGGUUUUCAUCCUGGAAAUCAUGGGUUCGAAUCCCAUACGCGGUACCA
RNAcentral lists this transfer RNA (79 nucleotides) under Candidatus Moranbacteria bacterium CG23_combo_of_CG06-09_8_20_14_all_35_22. Its description in RNAcentral is "tRNA-Glu". It matches the Rfam family "tRNA". From Rfam's summary of the family: Transfer RNA (tRNA) molecules are approximately 80 nucleotides in length. Their secondary structure includes four short double-helical elements and three loops (D, anti-codon, and T loops). Further hydrogen bonds mediate the characteristic L-shaped molecular structure. tRNAs have two regions of fundamental functional importance: the anti-codon, which is responsible for specific mRNA codon recognition, and the 3' end, to which the tRNAs corresponding amino acid is attached (by aminoacyl-tRNA synthetases). tRNAs cope with the degeneracy of the genetic code in two manners: having more than one tRNA (with a specific anti-codon) for a particular amino acid; and 'wobble' base-pairing, i.e. permitting non-standard base-pairing at the 3rd anti-codon position. Lineage: Bacteria; Candidatus Moraniibacteriota. The record is from RNAcentral.